Small nucleolar RNA from Nycticebus coucang (slow loris), 124 nucleotides. RefSeq annotates it as small nucleolar RNA SNORA31. The record is from RefSeq and is a predicted model, not a curated record. Lineage: Eukaryota; Metazoa; Chordata; Mammalia; Primates; Lorisidae. The transcript has a single exon.
UUGAUGUGCUGUUGGAUUCUGUUUGUUAGGAUCUUAUUGAGUUGCACUAGGAUGCAAAAGAAAAAAUUCCCUGUGCUUUCUGUCUGUCUUUGUGGCAGCUCAGAUUGAAUUAGGGAAUACAUUU